RNAcentral lists this ribosomal RNA (301 nucleotides) under uncultured bacterium. RNAcentral's name for it is "partial 16S ribosomal RNA". It matches the Rfam family "Bacterial small subunit ribosomal RNA", at positions 509 to 807 of the family's 1533-position model. The record is from RNAcentral.
CAGUAGCCGCGGGAAUACAGAGGUCCCGAGCGUUGUUCGGAUUCACUGGGCGUAAAGGGUGUGUAGGAGGUUUGGUAAGUCAGGUGUGAAAUCCCGCAGCUUAACUGCGGAACUGCAUUCGAUACUGCUGAACUAGAGGCUUGGAGGGGGAAGCGGAAUUCUUGGUGUAGCGGUGAAAUGCGUAGAUAUCAAGAGGAACACCGGUGGCGAAGGCGGCUUCCUGGACAAGUCCUGACUCUGAAACACGAAAGCUAGGGGAGCGAAUGGGAUUAGAUACCCCCGUAGUCCCUGUCUCUUAUAC